Molecule: long non-coding RNA, 1493 nt
Filed under: Sus scrofa (pig)
Lineage: Eukaryota; Metazoa; Chordata; Mammalia; Artiodactyla; Suidae
Description: lncRNA (ENSSSCG00015023333.1)
Source: RNAcentral
UAUGAACAUGAGUGUACAGAUACCUCUUUGAGAUCCUACUUCCAGUUCUUUUGUGUAUGUAUCCAGAAGUGGAAUUGCUGGAUCAUACAGUUAUUGUUUUUAAUUUUUAAUUUUUUUUCUAUUUUGGCUGCACCUGCAGCAUGUAGAAGUUCCUGGGCCAGAGAUUGAACCCAUGCCACAACAGGAACCCAAGCCACAGCAGUGACAAUGCUGGGUCCUUAACCUACCACACAACAAGAGAACUCCUUAAUUUUUAAUUUUUUGAGGAACUGCUGUACUGUUUUCCAUAGCAGAUAUACUAUAUUAUAUUCUCACCAACUGUGUACAGGGGUCCAGUUUCUGCACAUCCUCACCAACACUCGUUUUCUAUUUUUUGAUAGUGGCCAUCUAGAUAGGUGUGAGGUGGUAUCUCAUUGUAUUUCUUAUUUGCAUUUCACUAGUGAUUAGUGAUGUUGAGCAUCUUUUCUUGUGCUUAUAGGUCAUUUGUAUAUCUUUUUUGGAGUGAUGUCCAUUCAAGUCCUAUUUUCAUUUUUGAAUUGGAUUUUUUUUUUGUCAUUGAGUUUUAGUUCUUCCCAUAUUUUUUUGGAUGUUAAUCCCUAUCAGAUUUUUGAAUCUCUUUCAGAUUUUGGAUUUGCAAAUUUUUUUCUCUUUCAUGGGUAGCAUACUUUGACUCUAUGGCUUGUGUCUUUUUUUCAGCCGCUCCUGUGGCAUGUAGAAGUUCCUGGGCCAGGGAUCGAGCCUGAGCCAUAGCAAUGACCAAAGCUGUUGCAGUGACAUUGCCAGAUCCUUAACUCACUGUAUCACAAGAGAACUCCAGGUUGUGUCUUUUUUUCUUUCUUUUUUUUUUUUCUUUUUUUAGGGCCGUACCUGUGGCAUGUGGAGGUUCCCAUGCUAAGGGUUGAAUAGGAGCUGUAGCCGCCAGCCUAUACCACAGCCACAGCAAUGAGUUAUCUGCGACCUACACCACAGCUCAUGGCAAUACUGGGAUCCCCGACCCACUGAGUGAGGCCAGGGAUAGGACCCACGUCCUCGUGGAUACCAGUCAGAUUUGAUGCCACUGUGCCGCAAUGGGAACUCCCCAGGUUGUGUCUUUUGAUGCACAGAAUUUAAAAAUUUUUAUGAAGUCUCAUUUGUUUUUCUUUUGUACCUUUGGUGUCAUAGCCAAGAAAUAAUAGCCAAAUACAAUAUUGUGCAAUUUUUGCCUUAUAUUUUAAGAUUUUUAUAGUUUUAUGGCCUAUGUUGCAAGUCAGUUGAUCUAAUUAAAAAAAGAUUAUUAAUUUUAUUGUGAUUCAUUAUGUGUGUUGGUUACUUUGGGAGAAGUUAAUUUGUUAUGAUUUUGUGUCGUUAUUCCAGAACCUUUCAUUUUUUCCUUUUUUUAAACCCUAUAUUUUUCUUCUUUUUAAAAAAAGGGUGGGGGAAAAAACUGUAACUGCAAUGUAUACAUCUAAGGAUGACCUGACCCCCUUGCUGUACAGUGGGAAAAUAAAAAAAAA